RNAcentral lists this transfer RNA (67 nucleotides) under Phoenicurus auroreus (Daurian redstart). RNAcentral describes it as "tRNA-Cys". The record is from RNAcentral. Lineage: Eukaryota; Metazoa; Chordata; Aves; Passeriformes; Muscicapidae.
GGCCCUGUGGUGAAGUUCAUGGUGAGUUGCAAGCUCAUUGAUGUGCGCUGGUCGCGUACCGGGGUCU